CCUGGCGUGCUGCAGUUCAUGGGGUCGCAAAGAGUCAGACACGGCUGAGCGAGGGAACUGAACUGAACUGAGCUAAACUCUGCCUCCCGAAAGAGAUGUACCAAACAUAGAACACCAGGUGGCGCCAGAGAUAUUUCAUCAGAGAACCUCUCAAGGACCCUGCCUUCUUGAUGGCGCUUGUCCUCCUUGGAUGUCAAGUAUCUCUGUGGUUAAACCUGCAGGCUGAACAACAGCUUACCUGCAGAAAUUCAUUGCUGGAUGGAGAGCAUGACAGCCAACAAUGGUACAGAUGAGGAAACUGAGGCCAGAGAAGGACAGUGGCUUCCCCCGUCAGUCACCAAGUAAAGUGUAGCAAAGCAGGAAGUAACGCAGGUAAACCCGGGGUGCUGUUCCUGCCCGCUUCCUGGUCUGUGCAGCUCAGACAGCCUUUCCUGACUCUGGAGUUGAAGGCAGCAGCAGUGGCCUCCUGGGCUUUCCCUGUGGAGGGGGGUGGGGGGAACCUGCGAAGCAGGUGGUAGUGGAGGUAGGGAAGUGAACUUAGGCCAUGGACAUAAUUGUUCAGCUGUGACUCUGGAAGUGGUGGAAAACACAAAAGCUAGGGAAAUCUGAUCGAAAAGAGUCGAAAAUGUUCAAAGAAUACAAUGGCAACCUCUCCGAAUUGAUUGUUCUCACCAUGACCUUGGCUCUGUGCUAUGUAUAUGCUUGCCUGCAUUUAUUUCUUCAUUUAUUGUUUACAACAACUCUGGGAAAUAGGUACUACUGAGCAUUCUUUUUUUUUCUCCCAGGCCCCUCUCAGAAAUGGAAAGAAGUUCAGGAAAAUAAAAACAGCCAGGAGAAAAGUGAAUUCUCUGACCAUUAGGCCUAUAAAACCUCUGCCUCCAGUCCGUACACUUUGCCUUUCCUCCUGUUACAGAGAUGAAUGAUCCCUGCUCUUAGCGAAAGCCACCUCUGGGUGUGGACUGGACCCUGCCAGGGGAAACUCUGUACGUGGCUUCUGGAACCUCAUGGUCAUUGGCUCCCUUGCCGGCUACUUCUCAUUCUCCUUUCUGGGAUCUUCCUCAGAGGACAUCCUCUGAAGAGGCCAGUGACCCUAAUCACAGUCGAGAACUCAAGAGGGAAAACAGCAGUUCUCAAAUCCUGUGUUAGAAAGUUUGGCAAAUAAAGUCAUCUCCAUCAUUAACUUUCA
This is a long non-coding RNA of Capra hircus (goat), 1186 nucleotides long. RefSeq lists it as uncharacterized. NCBI's taxonomy places the organism in Eukaryota, Metazoa, Chordata, Mammalia, Artiodactyla, Bovidae. The transcript is spliced from 2 exons. The record is from RefSeq and is a predicted model, not a curated record.